Molecule: RNA transcript, 7510 nt
Organism: Mirounga angustirostris (Northern elephant seal)
Lineage: Eukaryota; Metazoa; Chordata; Mammalia; Carnivora; Phocidae
Gene: SPECC1
Gene name: sperm antigen with calponin homology and coiled-coil domains 1
Exons: 14
Source: RefSeq, a predicted model, not a curated record
ACAUGCGAUCUAAUGUCUCCCUCGCGGCAUCUUGCCUUUCUCGUGGCCCUUGGCUUCAGCCUCCCGGCGGUGGGGUUUUUCCAGCCUACCUUGUCCAGCUGCAGUUCUCAGCGUCGGCCCCUAGAGGCCUGACGUCGGUCAGCCGGUGCGGCCCUCCCACGCGUGGGAGGGAACCCUUCGGAUGCUCCCGAGCGAUAUGUAGAUGAGAUGGGAGGGCACUAUGCAGAUGAGAUGGGCGGGCCUCGCCGGGCAGGCCGCCUGGAGCUGAGGUGGGCGGGCUGCGAGCGGGCGGUAUGCAGAUGAGGUGGGCGGGGCCCGCCCGCGCGGGCGAGGAGCGGCUCCGCCGGCGGCCGCCGGGAACUGGAAGGCGCCCGGCCCUUUCUUUGACUGGAGCGGACCCGCCGGACGCAGCUGCCUCGCCAGCCGGAGCCGGCGCGAGCCGCAGCGCGGCGGACACCCUGUCCGAGGCCGGCCACCUGGCCGCUGCCGGAGUCGGCCGAGCAUGGGCAACCACUCGGGGCGGCCCGAAGAUCCCGAACCAGGUCUGUGCUGUCGGCGGGGGUCGCGCCGCGCCCCCUCCCCGGCCCGGCGCCCUUCCCCCACCCGCCUUUCGGGCCAGCGGCCGCCGCGCUGCCCCGCGGGCGCCCAGGGGCGAGUGGAAAGGGGCUGUGACGACAACCAAACGGACGGGCAUUCCAGCUCCUCGAGAACUUUCAGUAACUGUCUCAAGAGAGAGAACUGUGCCACGCGGUCCCUCCAACCCCAGGAAGUCGGUGUCCAGUCCAACUUCUUCCAGCACACCCACCCCUACUAAGCACCUGAGGACCACUUCCACGAGACCCAAACAAGAGCAUGAAGGUGGGGAAAAGGCCGUGCUCGAGUCCCAAGUUCGGGAACUUCUGGCAGAAGCCAAAGCAAAAGAUAGUGAAAUUAACAGGCUUCGAAGUGAACUGAAGAAAUGCAAGGAGAGAAGGACUCAGAGCAUCGAAGGAGCUGAGGCGUCAGACUCCAAUCUAGACGGAACGUCCGCCUUGCCCAGUGACUCAGAACCUUUGAUAAGAGCUCUUGAGGAGAAGAACAAGAAUUUUCAGAAAGAGCUUGCAGAUCUCGAGGAGGAAAACCGGGCCUUGAGGGAGAAACUGACUUACCUGGAGCACUCCCCCAAUUCAGAGGGAGGCGUGAGUCACACUGGUGAGAGCAGCUGCCCAACAUCCAUAACUCAGGAGUCAAGCUUUGGGAGCCCGACUGGAAAUCAGUUGUCCGGUGAAAUCGAGGAGUACAGGAACAACAUACAUGAAAAUGCAUUACGGACGUCGGGCUCUUCAAGCAGCGACGUUACCAAAGCUUCUCUGUCCCCGGAUGCCUCUGAUUUCGAGCACAUCACCGCAGACACCCCCUCCCGGCCCCUGUCUUCUACCAGCAACCCCUUUAAGAGCUCCAAGUGUUCGACCACCGGCAGUUCCCCUAACAACGUGAGCGAACUUUCCCUGGCUUCCCUCACGGAGAAGAUACAGAAGAUGGAGGAAAACCACCACAGCACUGCAGAGGAGCUGCAGGCCACUUUGCAAGAAUUGUCAGACCAGCAGCAAAUGGUGCAGGAACUGACAGCCGAAAAUGAGAAACUCGUGGACGAGAAGACGAUUUUAGAAACGUCCUUCCAUCAGCAUCGGGAGAGGGCCGAGCAGCUCAGUCAGGAAAACGAGAAACUCCUAAAUCUCUUACAAGAGCGAGUGAAGAAUGAGGAGCCCAACACGCAAGAAGGAAAGAUCCUUGAGCUGGAGCAGAAGUGCGCAGAAAUUCUUGACCAGGGCCGCUUUGAAAGAGAGAAGUUGCUCAACAUUGAGCAGCAGCUGACCUGUAGCUUACGGAAGGUUGAGGAAGAAAACCAAGGCGCUUUAGAGAUGAUUAAACACCUGAAGGAAGAAAACGAAAAACUGAAUGGGUUUCUGGACCUGGAACGGCGUAAUAACGGCGUGAUGGCCCAAAGUCUGGAAGAGUGUAAAGCCACGCUAGAAGGGCUGCAGAUGGAACAUGGGUCGAUGAAGGCUCGUUUGGAGAAUGAGAAGCAGAAAGCUAUGGAGACCAGCCCCAUGGGGCACAUGGCAGAGGGUCGUGAGGUUCAAGAAAUGUUGAGAGUUGCUCGAGCUGAGAAAGAUCAGCUGGAACUGUCUUGCACUGAGCUCAGGCAAGAAUUAGUGAAGGCCCAUGGUGAAAUUAAACAUGUCUCGAGCCUCCUGGCCAAGGUGGAAAAGGAUUAUUCUUACUUGAAGGAGAUAUGUGAUCAUCAAGCAGAACAACUGAGCCGAACCAGCCUGAAACUGCAAGAGAAAGCAUCAGAGAGUGAUGCGGAGAUUAAAGACAUGAAGGAAACCAUAUUUGAAUUGGAAGAUCAGGUGGAGCAGCAUCGGGCUGUCAAGUUACAUAACAACCAGCUCAUUAGUGAGCUAGAGAGCAAUGUGAUGAAGCUGGAGGAACAGAAGUCAGACCUGGAAAGGCAGCUGAAGACUCUGACUAAGCAGAUAAAGGAGGAGACAGAGGAGUGGAGGCGGUUCCAGGCGGACCUGCAGACGGCGGUGGUGGUGGCCAACGACAUCAAGUGUGAGGCUCAGCAGGAGCUGCGUACCGUGAAGAGGAGGUUGCUGGAGGAAGAGGAGAAGAACGCCAGGCUGCAGAAGGAGCUGGGGGACAUGCAGAGCCACGGCAGACCUGUGAACGAAGAGUCGGAGCCGCCCGAGGUCGAGGCUCCCGGCCGGUGGCAUGGCAUCUACGUGAACAGAACGUCUCCAACACCUUCAGAAUCUGCGACCACCGUUAAGUCCCUCAUCAAGUCAUUCGACUUGGGACGGCCAGGUGGAGCCGGACAGAAUAUUUCUGUCCAUAAAGCCCCCAGAAGUCCUCUGAGUGGGAUUCCAGUGAGGACCGCUCCCGCCGCUGCUGUCUCCCCAAUGCAGAGACAUUCAACCUACAGCAGCGUUCGGCCGGCCAGCAAAGGUGGGACUCAGCGUUUGGAUCUUCCAGACCUUCCCCUCUCAGAUCUCCUAAAGGGAAGGGGUGAGGACCUGAAACCGGACCCUUACCUCCGGAAGAGUCCCUCCCUGGAGUCUCUGAGCAGACCCCCUUCUCUGGGCUUCGGGAGCACGAGGCUGCUGAGCGCCUCCACCGGGGGCUUGAAAGCACAGAGCAAACUCAGCGUGGAAAGAAGAGACCCGCUGGCUGCCUUGGCCCGGGAAUAUGGUGGAUCCAAGCGCAAUGCUCUCCUGAAAUGGUGCCAGAAGAAGACAGAAGGCUACGCGAACAUUGAUAUCACCAAUUUCAGCAGCAGCUGGAGUGAUGGCUUGGCCUUUUGUGCUCUCCUUCAUACCUACCUGCCUGCCCACAUCCCAUAUCAGGAGCUGAACAGUCAGGAGAAAAAAAGGAAUCUCUUGUUGGCAUUUGAAGCAACUGAAAGUGUAGGCAUCAAACCCAGCCUGCCAAACUGUGGAAGGAGCUGAGAUGCCCUGCAACAGUUGAAUGGAUAAAGAAGAUGUUGUCUAUAUACACAAUGGAAUAUUAUUCAGCCAUCAGAAACGAUGAAUACCCACCAUUUGCAUCGACAUGGAUGGACCUGGAGGGGAUUAUGUUAAGUGAAGAGCUCAGUGAGAUGCUGUACACAGACCGGCCCGACUGGCAGAGCGUGAUGCAGUACGUGGCCCAGAUCUACAAGUACUUUGAGACGUAAAGCCCAAGGGCCCGAGAGACACCGCCCACCCCAGCCUGCAGCUGGUCCUCGAAGCACCUGGUCACUUUCCACAGGCCCUGCUCCAUCCACCACCGCCCACAGCGCUCCAUCCAGGGGGACCAACACGCAAACAAGAAACGGAGCGGAGUUCCGCCGCACAUCCGCUUUAAAUCCAGAUGCAUUUGGAGUGUCAGCUGGGGAAGCUUUGCUCCCUGCAUGGGCCUCUGUCCUUCAGCCCAGGCUCCCUCCACGAGAACCCAGUAGGACAUCUCAGGUCACGCAGUGCAACUUCACCCGUGAGCUGCCGGGAUCCACCACCAACAGCACUUCCAAAGCAGUCAUCUUUUCACUAAAAACCCGGGCUCCUGCCUUUAGAAAAACUCUGCCCUUGCCACCGCCCACCCCCUCCAAAAAAGAAACACACAGCAAAAUGCAAAAAGACAAACAUUUCGGUCUCGCACCGCCUGGAAACCCACGAGCCCUUCUUUUUGCGGAAACGUGCUUGCGUGCUAGACAAUAGUUGUGACACCUAGAACUUGAUCACGCUUUUUAGAUCUCGCUGUCACUGAUUGGAAUCUCUGGAUGGAGGAGAAGAGGUGUGAGAAUACAAAGCAGCCCCUGGGUCGCUGGGGGCGGUGUCCCCCCGUGGGGUGGUCCGCAGACAGAAGUGUGCAUCUGUGUGCUUGCACAUGCUCACGCUCAGAACCUCCGUGCUGAAAGGGAGACGUCAGCCACUGUCGCCCCCUCCCUUUGUGUGUCGUCAUCCCCUCUCCCCCCCCUUCAUUCCCAUUGCCCUUCAUGAAAGCCCACACACAUUCGGCCCGGUGCAGAACGGUCCUCCCUUGCCCACCCAGGUCUUCGUGUGUUUGCACACACAGGCCGAAGAGGUGUGUAUGUUUGGGGAUACCAGGCAGACAGCAAAUGUGAACACUAUUUCAACUCUGGACUUGGGUUUUAGUGCCCCAUCAGGCCCUUCGCAUUUGCAGGGCCAAAGCAAGCCCUGAGGGGUGGGCAGAGAUGGCUCCACGUCUGCUCUCUUGUAAGGGCCGACAGCAGAGCUCCCGCCAGAACAGCCCCGGAGGGAGAGGGGGCUCAGAAGUGCAAGUGGGCACCCCAGGCAGGUGCUCGUGGUGGGCACGUGGAUGCACGUUGCGUAGCCCAUGAAGGUGUGGCUCCCCUGGGCAGUCAGGUGACUCGUCAGCACCAAAGGGCUGCGCUAUCCUCUGUCACUGGCAGUUACGGGAUGGCUGCUUGGCGGCCCAGGCCCUGUCCCGGAAGAGGCAUGUGUUAGCCCCUCCCUCCGGACCACCUCGGGAGAGGCGGCUGCUGGGCUCUGCGGAGGGUCCAUCCCUCCUUCUCAAGCCUCCACCCAUUGCCUGCUGAGGGUUCUCCUUUGUGGCUCCAGGUCAGAACCUUCCGGGGAGCUGGUUCAAAGCACACACCCCUGGCCUGCCCCAUCCGUUGAAUCAGAGCAUCUGGAACAACGGGAGCGGGGAUCUAGUCUGUAUAUUUUCAGAGUUCCCCUGACAACCCCUGAGAGGAGAGACCGCUUUUGAUCUCGCUCCCCAGGGUGGGGCCGUGAGCACAGCUUGGGGCUGGGCAGUUUGGUAAAGGUGACCCCCCCCACUCAGUGGCUCCUUUGUUUUCACAUGGGAGUCAGAGGCGCAGUCUGAACAAAUUUAAUUUACUCCUUCCUGAUGCACAUAUCCAAAUGGAAAGUACUCCCGUUGUGUUGCUUCACGUGUCUGUCCUUUGUUGACAUAACUGAUGAGUUUUCAUUACCCCGGAGCUUCUGCCUUGCUCUCCAUUGCAGUGGGGGAAGGUAAUAUCCCGAGGAGUUGGGUUGAACUGUCGGUCUAUGUGUUUAAUCUGGAUUUACUGCAGGGUUUGUGUGGGAGAGGCAGUUGAGGUGCUUGGGAUACCUGGAGGGGGUGUUCAGCGUUAUUGGCACCCUGUUUUUAGUGAUUACUGUAAAUGAGUCAGAUGAUCCAGCUCUCGGCCAAGCAGUGUCAUGCACUGUGGUCGUGGUGCUCUUUCCCCUCGCCCUACGCUGAGCCUGCUCCCUUUAGGGGAAAAAGAAGGAAAGAAAUGUCCUAUAAAAGAAAGGUCAUGUGCCAUUUAUUUUUAUAACUCAAAGAAGCUCCUUGGCUACCAUUUUCUUUGCCAGUGGGCAUGCUUCUAGAAGGGGAAGCAUGUGUCCUGCUCAUAGAAACACAAGUGGUGUUAGGGGCCCGUCUGGCCCUCCCUGCCGGGUCCCGGGAGAGGGACUGAAGGUGGCUGGGCUGCAGGACCAGGCCUUCCAGCACUUAGGGGACCUGGCGGUCGGGGGGAUGCUGUCCGGGCCCUGGGGCUGGGCCACAGGAUGGGGUUUUCAGAUCCAUUUUUAGCCAGAGCGCUCCAAGCACAAGGUGAACGUGGAAAAUUGAUCAAUUGAGAAAACAAGGUCGCGUCAGCCAAUUGUACCAUUUCCAGUUUUCUGUCCUGAGGCUUGCAAUAUCCACUUUUGUUCUCAUCUCCCUUCAGCCAGUAGUCAUUUAAAGUCAUGCAGUGGUUCUGCAGAUCCCCCCCCCCUUUUUUUAAUGCAUUGUUCUUCUAGAAAAGAUAGAUGCAAAAUGCCAGGCCCAAAAGAACGGAGUUUUUUAAAGACCUAGAGAGAGGUCCAUGGUUUUCAUCAUUGUGAGAUCUUCCAUGGACAGGAGCUCUGUUGGCUGAGGGUUAGCACCAUGGCCCUGCUCCCCAGGGUUCUUGUUUUGAGGAACCCGGCAAACACCCACUUCUCUUGUCCUAUUCCUUCUUGCUUCAGAAAUGAGGUUAGUCUCUGGUUUUCGUUCUUCAUUCAGCUAUUGUUUUGGAGCUUUUGUUGAGACCAUCCGAAGCAUCCCAAAGCAAUUAGCCAUCUGGAGGUGACGAAUAUCUGCAGGAUUCUCUUCCCCCAGACAACACUGGCCAUUUCUCUGAAGCUUCUUCUCCCACUUCCCCAUGGGGGGGUGGAGGGCAGGUGUCCCACUGGCCUGUGGAAGGAGGGGACUCGGGCCCUUCUCUGCACAACCACUUGCCAAAUCCAGCUGCAGCUUCUCCCAUUCCCAAGCUUGUGUGCCAUUUUGAGAUGAGCCACCAAGGACAUGCAGUAAGAGAUAUAGAGCUUAGCUACCUUUUUAAAAAAGUAUUUUUAAUAUCUCCUUUGCCCAAGCUCCCUGGGUGUUUCACUUUUCUUGACCCAGGUUAGACUUUGGCUAAGUCUGGAACAUCCUCCGUAGCUCCCUAAUUUUAACUACAUUAGUUGGAUGCAGUUGAUACAUCUGUGGCCUCGUUCCUACAAGAGCACAUCCAGGACGUGACACGCCAACAUGGAUGUAUUUAACUAUUAACAUGGAGAAGUGUAUGAUGUAUGACUGUGUAAUAUUUCUAAUAAAUAUAUUUUGUUUCGGUCUGAUUGUGAAUUUUUCCCAGUGACGUUUACUGUUACUCCUUUAUCAGAAUGCCUAAGCCUCCAUUCCAACUAGCACCUUCUCGUCUUUUAUUCCUCGUUAGGCCGUGAUGCCCACUGAGCUGCUCUUGCCGGCGGCGUUACUGGAAGUUUCCGGAAAGGACUGGGGUCCCGAUGGCUUUUCCGCCUCCUCGCAUUCACAGCCCUCUUGCUGGGACUGCGGUCACUUGGGCGAGUGACCGUUCAGGGUUGACACGGGGUGCUACAGAGCUGUGCAGAUGAGCCCAGACCGGGCCUGGAAACCAGAGGUGGCGAGGGCGCCAAGGUUGAGGAGACAGAGUUCAGGUGAACUUGAACAGACGCGG